This 250-nucleotide ribosomal RNA is filed under the name uncultured bacterium. RNAcentral's name for it is "partial 16S ribosomal RNA". It matches the Rfam family "Bacterial small subunit ribosomal RNA", at positions 524 to 773 of the family's 1533-position model. The record is from RNAcentral.
UACGUAGGGUGCAAGCGUUAUCCGGAAUUAUUGGGCGUAAAGAGCUCGUAGGCGGCUUGUCGCGUCCGGUGUGAAAGUCCAUCGCUUAACGGUGGAUCUGCGCCGGGUACGGGCAGGCUAGAAUGCGGUAGGGGAGACUGGAAUUCCCGGUGUAACGGUGGAAUGUGUAGAUAUCGGGAAGAACACCAAUGGCGAAGGCAGGUCUCUGGGCCGUUAUUGACGCUGAGGAGCGAAAGCGUGGGGAGCGAAC